CCAAGGGGCGCCGGCGCAUGCCGGCUGAGACGGGGCGUAACGCCGUCCCGAUCCCUCAGACCUGAUCCGGACAAUGCCGGCGUAGGGAUGGUGUC
This 95-nucleotide non-coding RNA is filed under the name bovine gut metagenome. RNAcentral's name for it is "TPP riboswitch (THI element)". It matches the Rfam family "TPP riboswitch aptamer (THI element)", at positions 8 to 91 of the family's 105-position model. Rfam says of the family: Vitamin B(1) in its active form thiamin pyrophosphate (TPP) is an essential coenzyme that is synthesised by coupling of pyrimidine and thiazole moieties in bacteria. The previously detected thiamin-regulatory element, thi box was extended, resulting in a new, highly conserved RNA secondary structure, the THI element, which is widely distributed in eubacteria and also occurs in some archaea. The record is from RNAcentral.